RNAcentral lists this unclassified non-coding RNA (366 nucleotides) under uncultured fungus. RNAcentral's name for it is "partial contains small subunit ribosomal RNA, internal transcribed spacer 1, and 5.8S ribosomal RNA". The stretch from base 1 to 73 matches the Rfam family "Eukaryotic small subunit ribosomal RNA", at positions 1759 to 1831 of the family's 1831-position model. Lineage: Eukaryota; Fungi. The record is from RNAcentral.
GCAAACUUGGUCAUUUAGAGGAAGUAAAAGUCGUAACAAGGUUUCCGUAGGUGAACCUGCGGAAGGAUCAUUAUUGAAUAAAUCUGGUCGGUUGUAGCUGGCUCUUCGGAGCAUGUGCACGCUGGUCACCUUUAUUUUUCCACCUGUGAACCCACUGUAGUCCUGGAUACCUCUCGCUGCAAAGCGGAUGCGUGGUUUGGCGUGCUGCUCGCAAGAGCGGUCGGCUUACUGCGAAUUUCCAGGUCUAUGAUUUUAUACAAACCCCAAACGCAUGUAAUAGAAUGUAAUCAUUAGGCCUUGUGCCUAUAAACCUAUACAACUUUCAGCAACGGAUCUCUUGGCUCUCGCAUCGAUGAAGAACGCAGC